This 225-nucleotide long non-coding RNA is filed under the name Carica papaya (papaya). RNAcentral describes it as "long non-coding RNA (CPAP_LNC007301)". Lineage: Eukaryota; Viridiplantae; Streptophyta; Magnoliopsida; Brassicales; Caricaceae. The record is from RNAcentral.
GGAUUAAUCGUGAUAGACAGUCUUGAUUCGCAUACGUAAUCAGCCUAAACAGGCAACGAUUGGACAGUUCUCCUCGCUCUACGUCGACUCAAACGGACAGCUUGAAUCGAAUGAAGAGGAAUAUUUAAACUCCUCUUCGCAGGGAACCAAAAUCUUAGUCGAUAGAGGAGUGACCGAAGAAAAAGAAGAAGGCGGGCCGAGGAAAGAACCAGAUGCCAUAAAAUG